This is a long non-coding RNA of Equus caballus (horse), 2813 nucleotides long. The record is from Ensembl. NCBI's taxonomy places the organism in Eukaryota, Metazoa, Chordata, Mammalia, Perissodactyla, Equidae.
AGGUGAAAGUGCCUGCUCUGUCUAUUGGCCUUCCAUUGUAUUUGUAUUUUUCAGUGUUGAUUUCCCCCGGGUCUCCACUCCAUUGUGGGGUUUUUUUUCUGUUUUUUUGUUUUUUUUUUUGCUUAAAGAUUGCCACCUGAGCUAAGCCUCUGUUUCCCAUCUUUGUCAGUUUCAGAGGGUAGAUUUCUCAGUCUUGCUCUUUCCCAAGUUCUGCACGCCCUUGUGUGUGUGUGUGUUUUUUUUUUUUUUUGCUCAAAUAUUGAACCUAAGCUAGCAUCUGUUGCCCAUCUUCGUCAGUUUGAGAGGGUAGGUUUCUCAGUGUUGCUUUUUCCCCAGGUCUCCAAGUCCCUCAGUGUGUGUGUGUGAGUGUGUGUGUUUUCUUUGCAAGAUUGGCACUUGAGCUAACGUGUGUUGCCCAUCUUUGUCAGUUUCAGAGGGUGGAUUUCUCCGUGCUGCUUUUUACCCGGGUCUCCACGCCCUUGUGUGUUUCUUUUGCUUAACGAUUGCCACCUGAGCUAAGCCUCUUCUUGCUCUUUCCCAAGUUCCGCACGCCCUUGUGUGUGUGUGUUUUUUUUUUUUUGCUCAAAUAUUGAACCUAAGCUAGCGUCUGUUGCCCAUCUUCGUCAGUUUGAGAGGGUAGAAUUCUCAGUGUUGCUUUUUCCCCAGGCCUCCACGCCCUUAGUUUUCCUUUUGCUUAAAGAUUGCCACCUGAGCUAGCCUCUGUUGCGCUUCUUUCUCAGUUUCCUCUCAGAAGUGCCAGAAGCAUGUGCCGGACAGGCCGGAACCAUCUCCCGGACAGACCGGAACCACAGGAAACACUCGCCGGAACCACCUGCUUGACUCACCGGUCCCACCUGCCGGACACGCCAAAAUCACCUGCCCUCUACACCAGAAUUACAUGGCGGACAAGUUGGAAUCACAUGAAAGGCAUGCCGACACAACCUCUCAGACGUGGAGAACCUCGUGCCGGACACCCCAGAACCACCUGUAGGACACACCGGAACCACCUGCCGGACACGCCGGAACCACUGGAUCGACUCAACAGAACCACCGCCGGACAUGCAAAAUCACCUGCCGGCUACGCCAGAAACACUUGGCGAACACUCCGGAAUCACCUGCCGGGCAUGCCGGAACCACCUCUCAGACAUGUCAGAACCACAUGCCAAUGACACCAGAAGCACCUGCCGAGCACGCCGGAACCACCUGCUCGACUCGCCAGAACCACCUGCCGGACCCGCCAAAAUCACCUGCCGGCUACGCCACAACCAGCUGGUGAACACUUUGGAAUCACCUGCCGGGCUUGCUGGAACCACCUGCCGGUCACGCCAACAUUACCGGCCAGCUACGCCAGAACCACUUGGUGGACAUUCCGGAAACGCCUGUCUGUCCGGCCGGAACCACCUCUCAGACGUGCCAUAACCAUGUGCCUGAGAUGCCGGAAUCACACUCCAAACAGACCGAGACCACCUGCCAGACACGCGUGAACCACCUGACGAGCACCCCGGAACCACCUGCUUGACUCACCGGAACCACCUGCCUGACACGCCAAAAUCACCUGCCAGCUACGCCACAACCAGUUGGUGAACACUUCGGAAUCACCUGCAGCGCUUGCUGGAACCACCUGCUGGUCACGCCAAAAUCACCAGCCGGGUACGCCAGAAUCACCUGGCGGACACUCCGGAAUCACCUGCCGCGCAUGCCGGAAGCACCUCUCAGACGUGCUGGAAGCACUUGCCGGACACGCCGGAAACACAUACCGGACAGACUGGAACCAUCUGCCAGACAUGCCGGAACCACCUGCCGAGCACGCUGGAGCCACCUGCUCGAUUUGCCGGAACUACCUGCCAGACAGGCCAAAAUCAACAGCUGGCUAUGCUAGAACCACCUGGCGGACAGUCCGGAAUCACCUGCCGCACAUGCCGGAACCACCUGCCGGACGUGCCCCAACCACCGGCUCGACCCGCCGGAACCACCGCCGGACAUGCAAAAUCACCUGCCGGCUAUGCCAGAACCACUUGGCGAACACUCCGGAAUCACCUGAUGGGCAUGCCGGAACCACCUCUCAGACAUGCCAGAAACACGUGCCAAUGACACCGGAAGCACCUGCCGAGCACGCCGGAACCACCUGCUCGAGUCGCAGGACACUCAUGCCGGACACGCCAAAAGGAACUGCCGGCUACACCAGAACCACUUACACGACUCUCCAGAAUCACCUGCCUGGCAUGACAGAACCACCACUCAGAAGUGCCAGAAGCACGUGCCCGACAUGCCGGAACGACCUAUCAGACAGUACGGAACCACCUGCCAGACAUGCCCAAAUCACCUGCGGGCUACGCCAGAACCACUUGGCGGACACUCUGGAAUCACCUGCCGGGCAUGCGGGAACCACCUCUCAGACACGCCGGUACCACCUGCCAAACACACCACAGCCACCUGCUCGACUCGCCGUAACCACCUGCUGGACAGACUGGAAUCACCUUUUGGACAUGCCGGAACCACCUGUGAGCUGUGCCAGAAACACGUGCCAGAGACGCCGGAAGCACCUGCCGAGCACGUCGGAACCACCUGCUCAACUCGCCUGAACAAGCUGCCGGACAUGCCAAAAUCACCUGCCGGCUACGCCAAAACCACUUGGUGGACUCUCUGGAAUCACCUGCCGGGCGUGAUAGAACCACCUCUCAGACGUGCCGAAACCACGUGCCAGACACGCCAGAACCACCUGCCGGACCUGCCUGAACCAACUGUCGAGCACGCCAGAACCACAUGCUCGACUCGCUGCAACCACAUGGCGGACAUGGCAAAAUCACCUGCCG